CCUACGGGGGGCUGCAGUGGGGAAUAUUGGACAAUGGGGGCAACCCUGAUCCAGCCAUGCCGCGUGUGUGAAGAAGGCCCUCGGGUUGUAAAGCACUUUCAGUGAGGAAGAACGCCUGGUGGUUAAUACCCAUCAGGAAAGACAUCACUCACAGAAGAAGCACCGGCUAACUCCGUGCCAGCAGCCGCGGUAAUACGGAGGGUGCGAGCGUUAAUCGGAAUUACUGGGCGUAAAGCGCGCGUAGGUGGCUUGAUAAGCCGGUUGUGAAAGCCCCGGGCUCAACCUGGGAACGGCAUCCGGAACUGUCAAGCUAGAGUGCAGGAGAGGAAGGUAGAAUUCCCGGUGUAGCGGUGAAAUGCGUAGAGAUCGGGAGGAAUACCAGUGGCGAAGGCGGCCCUCUGGACUGACACUGACACUGAGGUGCGAAAGCGUGGGUAGCAAACAGGAUUAGAUACCCGUGUAGUC
This 465-nucleotide ribosomal RNA is filed under the name Vreelandella stevensii. RNAcentral describes it as "partial 16S ribosomal RNA". It matches the Rfam family "Bacterial small subunit ribosomal RNA", at positions 338 to 795 of the family's 1533-position model. The record is from RNAcentral. Lineage: Bacteria; Pseudomonadati; Pseudomonadota; Gammaproteobacteria; Oceanospirillales; Halomonadaceae.